AUGGAGAGCAGCAUAGGGAAAGAUAGCAGCGAGCGUGUUCCUUUGUCAGGGGUCGUGGCAGAUUGUGUGAAGCGUUGGUUUAAGGAUACUCUUAGGGAGGCUAAAGGUGGUGAUGUUAAUAUGCAGAUUUUGGUUGGUCAGAUGUAUUAUAGUGGCUAUGGUAUUCCUAAAGAUGCUCAAAAGAGUAAACUUUGGCUGACAAAAGCAUCAAGGGUUAGAUCUUCAGUUUGGAAAGUUGGAGAUAAACGUCCAGGUUAUAAUGCAAGUGAUUCUGACUCUGAUGAAUCGGAUGAGAACUCUUAA
Vicia faba (fava bean) is the source of this 303-nucleotide non-coding RNA. The record is from the annotation of a GenBank genome assembly. Lineage: Eukaryota; Viridiplantae; Streptophyta; Magnoliopsida; Fabales; Fabaceae.